This 1318-nucleotide long non-coding RNA is filed under the name Homo sapiens (human). RNAcentral describes it as "HSALNT0119719". Lineage: Eukaryota; Metazoa; Chordata; Mammalia; Primates; Hominidae. The record is from RNAcentral.
CUCUUCAGCUUCCUUCACUUCCCUGCUUAGGCAUGUUACUCUAAAGUGCUUGAUAUGCAUGUAUUCUUAUAAAAUGUGGUUGUUAGUUGUAUGUUCAUGUUUUUAACGUACAUAAAUUAUAUUGUACUGUAAAUCUCAUUUCAGUUCAUUCUUUUUCACUGCAAACUAUUUUUGCUUGGCAUCAUAUUUUUAAGAUUCAUCUGUGAUGCUUGUGUGCAUCUCAUUUAUUGUUUCAGAUUACACCUCAAAGCUUUUAGGGGAAAAGGACAGUAGAUUCUUCUCUCAGAAGGCGUGGGACCUCUGGUGUGUGAGUUAUUCAUAAUACCCAUUACACAGUAAACCCCCAGAGAAAAUACAGAUCUUUAAAGAGAGCUUGGCUGAGCACAGUGGCUCAUGCCUUUUGGAGGCUGAGAGGGUGGAUCGCUUGAGCUCAAGAGUUUGAGACCAGCCUGGCAACAUGGCAAGACCCUCAUCUCUGCAAAGAGAAAAAAAAACCAAAAUUAACCAGGCAUGGUGGCAAGUGCUUGUAGUCCCAGCUACUUGGGAGGCUGAGGUGGGAGGAUGGCUUGAGCCUGGGAGGUGGAGGUUGCAGUGAGCUGAGAUCGUGCCACUACACUCUAGCCUGGGCAACAGAGUAAGACCUUGUCUCAAAAAAAAAAAAAAAAAAAAAAAAAACACACACAAAAAAAAGAGCCUGCCGUACAUAAAUCAUAAAUACAUCCAUCAAUAGAGAUCCUGAAUUCUUGAUAAACCCUGAUAUCGAGCCUAGUUAGGAGGCAAUAUUUCUGAAAAGCAUUCUGCAUAUUCUCAACUAACCACCCCACUCCACCAAUGUAUCUCUACAAUCUAAUUUGUGGCCAGUCAUUUCCAACUAUGCAUUGUCUAUAUUGGGUUCUCAGUGAAGGCAGACAAGGUUUGAGGCUUCUCAGAAGAUGGAGAUUCAGGUGGGCCUACCUCCAAAAAGACAAGAAGGACAGCCAUGACAAUGUUUGUCCUUGGACAGCUGCUGAAUCAGUUCUACUAUGCCCCCGGUGUUAGAUUGACCUACCAGGACUUCAGUGCCCUCUUUCAUUCCCACACCAUGGCCUCUAUAGGGAGGGAUUGUUUGGCUCAUAAGCUUUCCCAGCCCUUAGGCUCUGUGAGCUUUCAAUGGUUGACGGGUGGGAUGAGGAGGGAAUCUCUACAAUUUACCAAAUAAAGGGGGUUCAAUCAAUGAUUUUGUGUUAGACUCAAGGGAAGAGUAUUCAACUUCAACCAAUUAUUAUUCCCAAGGAAUAUUGAAAAUCGUUUCCUGACCAAAGAUUUUAAUCUCAGCUCU